RNAcentral lists this ribosomal RNA (429 nucleotides) under Bacteroidota bacterium. RNAcentral describes it as "Bacteroidetes bacterium partial 16S ribosomal RNA". It matches the Rfam family "Bacterial small subunit ribosomal RNA", at positions 355 to 776 of the family's 1533-position model. The record is from RNAcentral. Lineage: Bacteria; Pseudomonadati; Bacteroidota.
UAGGGAAUCUUCCGCAAUGGACGCAAGUCUGACGGAGCAACGCCGCGUGAGUGAAGAAGGAUUUCGGUUCGUAAAACUCUGUUGUUAGAGAAGAACAGCGCAUAGAGUAACUGUUAUGCGUGUGACGGUAUCUAACCAGAAAGCCAGGGCUAACUACGUGCCAGCAGCCGCGGUAAUACGUAGGUGGCAAGCGUUGUCCGGAUUUAUUGGGCGUAAAGCGAGCGCAGGCGGUCAAUUAAGUCUGAUGUGAAAGCCCCCGGCUCAACCGGGGGGGGUCAUUGGAAACUGGUUGACUUGAGUGCAGAAGAGGAGAGUGGAAUUCCAUGUGUAGCGGUGAAAUGCGUAGAUAUAUGGAGGAACACCAGUGGCGAAGGCGACUCUCUGGUCUGUAACUGACGCUGAGGCUCGAAAGCGUGGGUAGCAAACAGG